This 127-nucleotide ribosomal RNA is filed under the name Brachystegia leonensis. Its description in RNAcentral is "partial 18S ribosomal RNA". It matches the Rfam family "Eukaryotic small subunit ribosomal RNA", at positions 1713 to 1831 of the family's 1831-position model. The record is from RNAcentral. Lineage: Eukaryota; Viridiplantae; Streptophyta; Magnoliopsida; Fabales; Fabaceae.
GAUCGUGGUGACGUGCACAGUUCGUUGCCAGCGACAUCGUAAGAAGCCCACUGAACCUUAUCAUUUAGAGGAAGGAGAAGUCAUAAUAAGGUUUCUGUAGGUGAAGCUGUGGAGGAUCAUUAUCGAU